GCUGGGUGCAAUGGUACACACCUGUAGUCUCAGCCACUUGGAAGGCUGAGGCAGGAGGAUCACUUGAGUCCAGGAGGGGGGAUUGAUGUAAUGUGCUAUACCGAUUGGGUGUCACACUAAGUUCAGCAUCAAAUGGGGACCUCCCAGGAGUGGGGGUCCACCAGGUGCCUAAGGUGGGAUGAACUGGCCCAGGUGUCGGAAGUGAAGCAGGUCAAAACUUCCAUACUGAUCAGUAGUGGGACUAUGCCUGUGAAUAGCCACUGCACUCCAGUCUAGGCAACAUAGCAAGAUCCUCUCUCUA
This 301-nucleotide signal recognition particle RNA is filed under the name Pongo abelii (Sumatran orangutan). Its description in RNAcentral is "Metazoan signal recognition particle RNA (ENSPPYG00000040352.1)". It matches the Rfam family "Metazoan signal recognition particle RNA". From Rfam's summary of the family: The signal recognition particle (SRP) is a universally conserved ribonucleoprotein. It is involved in the co-translational targeting of proteins to membranes. Lineage: Eukaryota; Metazoa; Chordata; Mammalia; Primates; Hominidae. The record is from Rfam by way of RNAcentral.